UCUCCAGUUCUUAUCCAAUGUGGAGAAAAAAAACUGUUACAUCCUAAGCCUUUCACACUAUAUCUUAACAUUAUGGAGAGUCCUCAGUUCCAAACCAUACUAUAGAAUGUCUGGAGACAAGAAUAUGAAGGAGCACCUAUGCAGCAGAUAUGGAGUAAAAUGAAGACCAUGAAACAGCAACUGAAGGAGACAAAUGCUUAUAUGGCUUCAUAUAAGCAAAAACUUGCACAGGCUAGGGAGACACUGGUAUUAUCCAGAAUCAGUUGUAGCACUAUCCACUAUCACAACCUUUGUUUAAUGAGGAAAAAGCAGCAUUAGAAGAAAUUGAGAAAUGGAGUUGUGUGGAGGAACAAAUUAUGAGACAGAAAUCCAAGGCCUGCUGGAUUGAAUGUGGUGAUGCCAACACAAAAUAUUUUCAUUCCCAGUGGAAGAUCAGAACUUGCCAGAAUAGCAUAACUUCUAUAUACACUUAUAUAGGUCUGAAGCUCACAGACCCCUUAUCUGUGGAACAGGAGCUAUAAAUGUUUUCAAUCAUUGAUGGGAGAUUGUGCUGGGGAACUACCUUGUGUCAACACACUUAUUUUUAAAGGAGGAAAGUGUCUUAAUCACAACAAAAACUGCUGAUCCAGGAGGUUACUAUGGAAGAGAUUGCAGAAGCACUAAAAGAACGGCUUAUGAUACUCUGGAAUGGAGGUUUCUUAAAUAGAUCCUCAUUUAUCUUGUGUUUCCUGCUAAAUUUGUUCACUGGAUAAUGUCAUGUGUCACAACUGUUUCAUACUCCCUAGUUCUGAAUGGUGGAUUAACAAAACCCUUCAAUGAUAAGAGAGGUAUGAGACAAGGUGAUCCUAUGUCACUGUAUCUAUUUGUGCUGCCUAUGGAAUAUAUCAAUAGGUAACUGGGACAGUUGCACAAGAAUGGGGAUUUCAAUUUUCACCCAAAAUGCAGAAAGCUUAAUUGUACUCAUGUAUGUUUUGCUGAUGAUCUAUUAAUGUUAUGUCGAGAUGAUCUUGUUUCCAUUCAGAUUUUGAAGAAGGCUUUUCAAAAAUUCUCUGAAGCAUCUGGUUUGCAAGCUAAUGUUAUCAAAAGUGCAAUAUACUUGGCUGGAGUGCAGCAGUGUACUAGAGAAGAAAUUCUGGAGGCAUUGGGUUUUAUAGGUCAUCUUCCAUUCAAAUACUUGGGGAUACCUCUUGAUUCAAAAAAACUUGUUGUCUAUCACUAUCUACCAUUGAUAGAGAAGAUUACAGCUAAGAUUACAUGUUGGUCAGCUAAACUUCUCUCUUAUGAAGGGAGAUGUCAGCUGAUCAAAGCUGUCAUCUUUGGCAUUCAAACUUACUGGACUCAAGUUUUCAUUCUGCCAAAAAAAGUGUUGAAAGCUUUUGAAACAAUCUGCAGAACCUUCUUGUGGACUCGAACUGCUAAUCUCCCUAAAAGAGCACUAGUUGCUUGGGAAAGGGUUUGUAGACCAAUUACAGCUGGAGGACUCAACCUAUUAGCUAUGACUGUGUGGAAUAAAGCAACUAUCAGUAAGCAUCUUUGGGAUUUAGCCAGAAAGAAGGACUGCUUGUGGAUAAAAGGGGUGCACUGUUACUAUAUCAAGCAGGCUGACACUGAAACAAUGACCAUUCCUAAGUCUGCCUCUUGGGUUGUGAGGAAAAUACUGGACAGCAGAACUGCUAUCAUGAGGAAUCAGGUGCUUCAGGGGGAUCUUCUUGGCAGAUUGAAAGGAGUCUGCAAACUGGAUCAUUUCCAGAUUCAGCAGCUGUAUCUAACAAUGCUUCCCAGUUUCAGCAAGGUUGAAUGGAAUAGUCUGAUGAUGAGUGAAAAUGUUCAUAACAUCACCAGCCCUGAAAGGAGUCUGCAAACUGGAUCAUUUCCAGAUUCAGCAGCUGUACCUAACAAUGAUUCUCAGCUUCAGCAAGGUUGAAUGGAAGAGUAUGAUAAUGACUGCAAAUGCUCACCCUCGGCAUAGAUCACUAUGUGGUUAGCUGCACAACAAAGGCUACCAACAGUGGACAGACAGUAGAAAUUUAGCAUACAAGUUCCUGUAACUUAUGUGUUUUGCAAUCAGAGUACAGAAGCCUUUAAUCAUUUAAUUUUUGAGUGUUCAGUUACAAGGAGUCUGUGGUCCAGACUCUCUCUCUUGCUGGGGCACCACAGAUCUGUUGGUGAUUGGGAUACAGAAUUGAAAUGGAUUUGCAGCAAUGCAAAGAGCAGACUGGGGCUUACUGCUAUGAACAGCUUGUGUAUUUGUCAAAACUGUUGCACUUAUCUGGAGGGAGAGGAAUAACAUCAGAUUUGACAGUAAAGUCUACGUGGAGAAUCAGAUAUGCAGAGAAAUAUACUACUUAUUCAUAUUCGAGGCAAGAGUUGUAAUCGAUGGCAAAAUGGCUUGCGGCAACUUAAUAGUUUUCCAUAGAUAUAGUGUAUAUUAGUUGUCCCUAUACUAAGUUGUAAUUAGUGCAUAUUUGUAGUUUUCUUAGUAUAGAUGAUUUUGAUAAAUGAGUAGUAGCAAGUCAAAGCUACUACAAAUACUUCACCUUGUGCAUUUUCUGAUAUUAAUGAAAU
Molecule: long non-coding RNA, 2565 nt
Filed under: Nicotiana benthamiana
Lineage: Eukaryota; Viridiplantae; Streptophyta; Magnoliopsida; Solanales; Solanaceae
Description: long non-coding RNA (NBEN_LNC010481)
Source: RNAcentral